This 343-nucleotide ribosomal RNA is filed under the name bacterium enrichment culture DGGE band 61_2_FGQ_Ac. Its description in RNAcentral is "bacterial SSU rRNA". It matches the Rfam family "Bacterial small subunit ribosomal RNA", at positions 527 to 863 of the family's 1533-position model. The record is from RNAcentral.
GUAGGGAGCGAGCGUUAUCCGGAUUCAUUGGGCGUAAAGCGCGCGUAGGCGGGCGGUUAAGCGAGAUGUGAAAACCAGGGGCUCAAUCCGCUGGCCGGCAUCCGAAACAGGCGGGCUCGAGUGAUGGUAGAGGAAAGGUGGAAUUCCCAGUGUAGCGGUGAAAUGCGCAGAUAUAGGGAAGAACACCAGCUGGCGAAGGCAGCGUUGUGGGCCACCACUGACGGUGAGGCACGAAAGCUAGGGGAGCGAACAGGAUGAGAUACCCUGGUAGUUCUACCCGUAAACGAUGGGCACUAGGUGUGUGAGGUCGAUCGACUCCUCCGUGCCGCAGCCAACGCAUUAA